Long non-coding RNA from Etheostoma spectabile (orangethroat darter), 273 nucleotides. RefSeq lists it as uncharacterized. The transcript is spliced from 3 exons. NCBI's taxonomy places the organism in Eukaryota, Metazoa, Chordata, Actinopteri, Perciformes, Percidae. The record is from RefSeq and is a predicted model, not a curated record.
ACUGGAUAUGCACCAAGCUAAAUAUGCUGCUAAAAUACAUCUUCGAUACACAUUAGAAGCCCGGUGUGUCAUGCAGAUGAUAUGCAUGUCAUGAACCCUUCUCAGAUUUUUGUUUGAAAUGAUUUUUAUAUUUACAGCACUGGAACGGGUUUUUGUCCAUAGCCACAGUGGCAACUCUCAGACAGCUUGAGAGGCGAUUUUACCCUCAGAAGGGCGGUGUGCAAAUUUCAAACAGGAGAACCAAUCCAAAGCAUCGGAAUAACAUCACACUUU